RNAcentral lists this ribosomal RNA (253 nucleotides) under uncultured bacterium. RNAcentral describes it as "partial 16S ribosomal RNA". It matches the Rfam family "Bacterial small subunit ribosomal RNA", at positions 524 to 776 of the family's 1533-position model. The record is from RNAcentral.
UACGAAGGGGGCUAGCGUUGCUCGGAAUCACUGGGCGUAAAGCGCACGUAGGCGGACCCUUAAGUCAGGGGUGAAAUCCUGGAGCUCAACUCCAGAACUGCCUUUGAUACUGGGAGUCUUGAGUCCGGAAGAGGUGAGUGGAACUGCGAGUGUAGAGGUGAAAUUCGUAGAUAUUCGCAAGAACACCAGUGGCGAAGGCGGCUCACUGGCCCGAUACUGACGCUGAGGUGCGAAAGCGUGGGGAGCAAACAGG